AAGGAUCAUUAGUGAAUUUGUAGCCUCCAAGGCUCACAUUCUCUAUCCUUUACACACCUGUGCACCCUUCUGAAGCGGAGAGUUAUUAGGCAUUGGCCGAGCGCCUCCCUUCGGUUAUUAUAUCAAACUCAAACUACGUUUACUAGAAUGUAUACCGUCUUGUUGUAACGACAAGUACAAUCCAAUAAAACUUUCAACAACGGAUCUCUUGGUUCUG
RNAcentral lists this unclassified non-coding RNA (217 nucleotides) under uncultured fungus. RNAcentral describes it as "partial contains 18S rRNA, ITS1, 5.8S rRNA, ITS2 and 28S rRNA". The record is from RNAcentral. Lineage: Eukaryota; Fungi.